GCUGGGCAUGGUGGCGCACACCUGUGAUCCCAGCAGCUGGGGAGACUGAGGCAGGAGAAUUGGAAGUUCAAAGUCAGCCUCAGCAACUUAGCAAGACCCUGUCUCAA
RNAcentral lists this small RNA (107 nucleotides) under Marmota monax (woodchuck). The record is from RNAcentral. Lineage: Eukaryota; Metazoa; Chordata; Mammalia; Rodentia; Sciuridae.